UGGUAUGUUACCUCUGAUCAG
This 21-nucleotide microRNA is filed under the name Brachypodium distachyon (stiff brome). RNAcentral's name for it is "bdi-miR9491". The record is from miRBase by way of RNAcentral. Lineage: Eukaryota; Viridiplantae; Streptophyta; Magnoliopsida; Poales; Poaceae.